Molecule: long non-coding RNA, 278 nt
Organism: Mycetomoellerius zeteki
Lineage: Eukaryota; Metazoa; Arthropoda; Insecta; Hymenoptera; Formicidae
Exons: 3
Source: RefSeq, a predicted model, not a curated record
CCACAACCUGUUAUCAAAACAUCGACUAGUACUAAAAAACAUAUAUGUGAGGGAGAAUUUAAUGUUGUGUACAUUAAUGACAAUGAUGAACGUGUUAAUGAGGAUGGCUGUAAUAUGACAGUGCACACUGAAGUGAAAAAUACAGACUCAAAUGAAGAUACAGACUCAAAUGAAGAAUUUAACAUGAAUGAUGAACGUAAUACGAAUGGUAUUGAAAAUGUUCGAGAUGUGACAAAUGAAGCAAAUACACAAGAUAGAUGCCAUAAUACUAGAUGCUG